GAUUAGCUAGUUGGUGAGGUAACGGCUCACCAAGGCGACGAUCCGUAGCUGGUCUGAGAGGACGGCCAGCCACACUGGGACUGAGACACGGCCCAGGCUCCUACGGGAGGCAGCAGUGGGGAAUAUUGGACAAUGGGGGAAACCCUGAUCCAGCGACGCCGCGUGUGUGAAGAAGGCCUGCGGGUUGUAAAGCACUUUCGGUGGGAACGAAAUAUGCCGGGCUAAUACCCCGGUAGGCUGACGUUACUCAAUGAAGAAGCACCGGCUAACUCUGUGCCAGCAGCCGCGGUAAUACAGAGGGUGCGAGCGUUAAUCGGAAUUACUGGGCGUAAAGCGCACGUAGGUGGCGACGUAAGUCGGGUGUGAAAGCCCCGGGCUCAACCUGGGAACUGCAUUCGAGACUGCAUUGCUGGAGUACGGAAGAGGAGGGCGGAAUUCCCGGUGUAGCGGUGAAAUGCGUAGAUAUCGGGAGGAACAUCAGUGGCGAAGGCGGCCCUCUGGUCCAGUACUGACACUCAAGUGCGAAAGCGUGGGGAGCAAACAGGAUUAGAUA
RNAcentral lists this ribosomal RNA (553 nucleotides) under uncultured bacterium. RNAcentral's name for it is "bacterial SSU rRNA". It matches the Rfam family "Bacterial small subunit ribosomal RNA", at positions 239 to 784 of the family's 1533-position model. The record is from RNAcentral.